AUUGAACGCUGGCGGCAGGCCUAACACAUGCAAGUCGAACGGUAACAGGAAGCAGCUUGCUGCUUCGCUGACGAGUGGCGGACGGGUGAGUAAUGUCUGGGAAGCUGCCUGAUGGAGGGGGAUAACUACUGGAAACGGUAGCUAAUACCGCAUAAUGUCGCAAGACCAAAGAGGGGGACCUUCGGGCCUCUUGCCAUCGGAUGUGCCCAGAUGGGAUUAGCUUGUUGGUGGGGUAACGGUUCACCAAGGCGACGAUCCCUAGCUGGCCUGAGAGGAUGACCAGCCACACUGGAACUGAGACACGGUCCAGACUCCUACGGGAGGCAGCAGUGGGGAAUAUUGCACAAUGGGCGCAAGCCUGAUGCAGCCAUGCCGCGUGUAUGAAGAAGGCCUUCGGGUUGUAAAGUACUUUCAGCGGGGAGGAAGGGAGUAAAGUUAAUACCUUUGCUCAUUGACGUUACCCGCAGAAGAAGCACCGGCUAACUCCGUG
This 490-nucleotide ribosomal RNA is filed under the name uncultured bacterium. RNAcentral's name for it is "partial 16S ribosomal RNA". It matches the Rfam family "Bacterial small subunit ribosomal RNA", at positions 30 to 507 of the family's 1533-position model. The record is from RNAcentral.